RNAcentral lists this long non-coding RNA (999 nucleotides) under Microcebus murinus (gray mouse lemur). RNAcentral's name for it is "lncRNA (ENSMICG00000048319.1)". The record is from RNAcentral. Lineage: Eukaryota; Metazoa; Chordata; Mammalia; Primates; Cheirogaleidae.
CUCUGAUUAACUGAGUGUUACUGAGAAAACUCCUUUUGUCUUCACCUGGGCGGUCACACAUCUUUGUAAAAUAGAGUAUAAUCCAUUUUCCUGCCUUAGCAAGUAGGGCUAGAGACAAAAUAGGCUAUCUGUCUCUUUGAUGACUCAGUGCUCCUCUCCAAAUACUGCACAGUCCUGCGAAGAGAAACUGCAGGGGAUUCUGGGCCAAGUGUACCCUGGCCGUGAAGAUGGAUUCCAGGGUAAAACCUACACCCACCUGUUAGCCCAUCGUUUUCCUCUGUCUUGAGAAAAUUGAGAAUCAAGAGUUGGAGGAUGAAGAGUGAUGGCCGAAGAUACUCUCCUGUCUCUGAGACCCUGAGGUCCCCUACAACGCCUAGGACGUGAGCAUGAGCAAAUGCAGAUGUUUCCCCACGAACAAGGGUCCGGUAAACUCUGAGGACACCUUGAAUACUGACGGGUCAACGCCUCUUCAAAGAAGAACAGGCUCGGGAGUAGAGCCUCAUCCUUGCCAGCCUGUUCUUCCCACUGCCUCCUCCCCAGCGCUCAGACCUGGGCACUACACUCCACGGCCCUCAUGUCACACCUCUCGCUCGACAUGAAGGAGAAGUGCACCAGGAGGGACUUGGCAAAGUGCUGCGGGUGUGAGAAUCCACAGGGUGACCACGGCAAGUCCUCAUGUUGCUCGGUAAGAAGUGAUUGCAAAUACUAUUUUUAGAUGGAGAGAAAUGGAUAAAUGACACCAUAAAACCCAAAUUGGCAAACAUUUUAAAAAUGAAACUAAGACUUCCAGGACAUUCAUUCAUCCACUGUUUUGCAGCAGGGACUUCUAAGACUGCUAACGGCAUGGCUUUACUCAUCCCCCUGCUGUCGGCGGUACAGCUAUGGGCAAAGUCACAGAGGAGCUGCCUUCGUCUUGGUAAUAGCAGUGGCUUGAGAUGAAGCUGACGCCUUCAGCAUGGUAAUCAAAGCCUUCCUCAGUCUAGCCCUGCCCCACGGUUG